Long non-coding RNA from Papilio polytes (common Mormon), 834 nucleotides. RefSeq lists it as uncharacterized. The record is from RefSeq and is a predicted model, not a curated record. The transcript has 2 exons. NCBI's taxonomy places the organism in Eukaryota, Metazoa, Arthropoda, Insecta, Lepidoptera, Papilionidae.
UACGUGAAAAAAGUGCGUGCAGAGUUUUGGAUUCGAUUUAUUAAAAUUUAAACAAUUAUGUUAUAUGCAACAAGCAAUACGCACUCUUACCGCUUAUUAUUAGAUAACCAAUCUUAAACUAUUUAGAACACCAACACUUUUAGAUAAAAACAGUUUCAGAGUUUUUCAGAGCACAAGCUGUGAACAAGUAGGUAGAUCAUAGGACCUACCUAAACUAGAUAAUGAAAAAGUAGAGUUACAUUGUUCGUUCAUCAAUAAUUUUCUUUACAGGUAAUUGUUACGGUAGUAAAACGGAUCCCAAAUUGAUAUCUGUAGAAAUAAUAAAAGAAAUACAAUGCGUAAUUCAUUAGGUCGUAAAUUUAAUUGAGGUGGGAAGUAGAGACAUUAAUUACCGUUAUCCUUUCUUUUGAUUACCAAACGGAAGUAUCGUGAUAGUGUUGCCUGUUAAUAUAUUAACGUGGUGUUUUGGUGAAAUUGCAAUUUGCAUUUGCAUUGUCUCUGGUGUCUAUUUAACGUGCAACGUUGUCAAAUUUUCCCGCCAAUGGAUAACAGAAUCGUGUUUUUGUUUUUAUUUUUAAUCUACAUUGGAGUAAGCGCGAAGCAGGAGCCGUGGACCGACUGGUCGGAGAAGCAAUGUCCCUGUACUGCAGAAUACGAGCCGAUUUGCGGAAACGACAUGCGACGGUAUAGGAACUUGUGUACCUACGAAUGUCGGCUAAACCACCUCUAUUCUAAUAACCAACGUCUGAUAAAAUCAGUCGAUUGUAAAUUAUUACCGCCAUCUACACCUCAUUAAAUAUUGUAAUUUUCUAUACAAUAAAGUAUUUAAAUAUA